UACGGAGGGGGCUAGCGUUGUUCGGAAUUACUGGGCGUAAAGCGCACGUAGGCGGCGAUCUAAGUCAGAGGUGAAAGCCCGGGGCUCAACCCCGGAACUGCCUUUGAGACUGGAUUGCUAGAAUCACGGGAGAGGUGGGUGGAAUUCCGAGUGUAGAGGUGAAAUUCGUAGAUAUUCGGAAGAACACCAGUGGCGAAGGCGGCCCACUGGACGUGUAUUGACGCUGAGGUGCGAAAGCGUGGGGAGCAAACAGG
This 254-nucleotide ribosomal RNA is filed under the name uncultured bacterium. RNAcentral describes it as "partial 16S ribosomal RNA". It matches the Rfam family "Bacterial small subunit ribosomal RNA", at positions 524 to 776 of the family's 1533-position model. The record is from RNAcentral.